RNAcentral lists this ribosomal RNA (421 nucleotides) under uncultured bacterium. Its description in RNAcentral is "bacterial SSU rRNA". It matches the Rfam family "Bacterial small subunit ribosomal RNA", at positions 28 to 447 of the family's 1533-position model. The record is from RNAcentral.
AACGAACGCUGGCGGCGCGUCUUAAGCAUGCAAGUCGAACGAAUGGCCACCCUCGGGUGGCCGGAAGUGGCGGACGGGUGAGUAACACGUGGGUAAUCUGCCCUCCGGUGGGGAAUAGCACAUGGAAACAUGUGAUAAUACCGCAUGAUACGGCGCGGCGAUGCCGCGUCGGGAAAGCUCCUGCGGGAGCGCCGGGGGAUGAGCCUGCGGCCCAUUAGCUAGUUGGCGGGUAAAGGCCCACCAAGGCGACGAUGGGUAGCCGGACUGAGAGGUUGAACGGCCACAUUGGGAUUGAGAACGGGCCCAGACUCCUACGGGAGGCAGCAGCUAAGAAUCUUCCACAAUGGACGGAAGUCUGAUGGAGCGACGCCGCGUGGGACGAUGAAGGCCGUGAGGCUGUAAAGUCCUUUUCGGGAGGGGG